Molecule: ribosomal RNA, 469 nt
Filed under: uncultured bacterium
Lineage: Bacteria
Description: bacterial SSU rRNA
Rfam family: Bacterial small subunit ribosomal RNA
Source: RNAcentral
GACGAACGCUGGCGGCGUGCCUGACACAUGCAAGUCGGACGGUUCUUGCACCUUCAAGCUUGCUUGCUGGUGCAGGGAUAGUGGCGGACGGGUGAGUAACGCGUGAACAUCUACCCAUUGGAGGGGGACAACCCGUCGAAAGGCGGGCUAAUACCGCGUAAGCCGUGAGGUGAGAGGCUGCCUAUUGGUGGCCGCCGAUGGAUGGGUUCGCGUCCUAUCAGCUGGUUGGUGGGGUAACGGCCUACCAAGGCGAAGACGGGUAGCCGGUCUGAGAGGAUGGCCGGCCACACUGGAACUGAGACACGGUCCAGACUCCUACGGGAGGCAGCAGUGGGGAAUAUUGGGCAAUGGGGGUAACCCUGACCCAGCGACGCCGCGUGAGGGACGAAGGUUUUCGGAUCGUAAACCUCUGUUGUACGGGAAGAAGGAAUUGACGGUACCGUACGAGAAAGCCCCGGCAAACUACGUG